UGGGGAAUUUUGCACAAUGGGGGAAACCCUGAUGCAGCGACGCCGCGUGAUUUAGAAGGCCUUCGGGUUGUAAAAAUCUUUUCUAUGGGAAGAAAAUGACAGUACCAUAGGAAUAAGGACCGGCUAAUUACGUGCCAGCAGCCGCGGUAAUACGUAAGGUCCGAGCGUUGUCCGGAAUCAUUGGGCGUAAAGGGUACGUAGGCGGGUAAGCAAGUUAGAAGUGAAAUCCUAUAGUUCAACUAUAGUAAGCUUUUAAAACUGCUCAUCUUGAGGUAUGGAAGGGAAAGUGGAAUUCCUAGUGUAGCGGUGAAAUGCGCAGAUAUUAGGAGGAAUACCGGUGGCGAAGGCGACUUUCUGGCCAUAACCUGACGCUGAGGUACGAAAGCGUGGGUAGCAAACAGG
This 402-nucleotide ribosomal RNA is filed under the name bacterium. RNAcentral's name for it is "partial 16S ribosomal RNA". It matches the Rfam family "Bacterial small subunit ribosomal RNA", at positions 355 to 776 of the family's 1533-position model. The record is from RNAcentral.